RNAcentral lists this ribosomal RNA (253 nucleotides) under uncultured bacterium. RNAcentral describes it as "partial 16S ribosomal RNA". It matches the Rfam family "Bacterial small subunit ribosomal RNA", at positions 524 to 776 of the family's 1533-position model. The record is from RNAcentral.
UACGUAGGGGGCAAGCGUUGUCCGGAAUCAUUGGGCGUAAAGAGCGUGUAGGCGGUUCAGUAAGUCUGCUGUGAAAGUCCAGGGCUCAACCCUGGGAUGCCGGUGGAUACUGCUGGGCUAGAGUACGGAAGAGGUGAGUGGAAUUCCCGGUGUAGCGGUGAAAUGCGCAGAUAUCGGGAGGAACACCUAUUGCGAAGGCAGCUCGCUGGGACGUUACUGACGCUGAGACGCGAAAGCGUGGGGAGCAAACAGG